This 1356-nucleotide unclassified non-coding RNA is filed under the name Sitophilus oryzae (rice weevil). RNAcentral describes it as "tHAP domain-containing protein 2-like, transcript variant X4". Lineage: Eukaryota; Metazoa; Arthropoda; Insecta; Coleoptera; Curculionidae. The record is from RNAcentral.
GUGGUAUUUGGACAUUUGGAAUUUGGAUUGUGAUUUGGAGUUGCAGUUCACAAUGGAGUUUAUUUAUGUUUACAAAUUUUCAAGUAUAUUAUCUGAUAUUAUAAAAGAGUGAGAACUAGACUAUUUUUUUGAUUUAUUAAGUUUCAUUUAGAAAUAGAGAUCAUUCCAUUCUAUAACUAAUAAAAUGCCCGGAGGAACGACUUGUGCUGUUGCUAUAUGUAAAAAUAACUCAAAAAUAGUUAAGCAAAGUGGAGAACCUAUUAGAUUUUUUUCCUUUCCUAAGGAUCCCAACAUACGCACAGAGUGGAUCAGGAAAUGUUUUAGAAAACAUGAAUUUUCAGUGGACCAUGCACGUAUUUGUAGUAAACAUUUUAAGUCCGAUGACUUUGAAGACUCACUGCAUGCUAAAUUACUCAAUUUUUAUCCAAAAAAGCUAAAUAAAAAUGCAAUUCCUUCACUGUUACUAUGUAAUUCCGGAAUGGUUCACACACAAAAAGAUUCUGAGGAUAGCAUUGAAAUGGCGUUGAAAAAUGAAAUAAAAAAUGAGAGCUUAUCCAUAGAUGAUGAUGAGAGUCUUGCAGAAGAAGCAAUUAAAAUAUUUUUCUUAGAAGAAGAAUUGUGACCCAACCUGAUGUUCUUGUAGAAGUAUCUGUUGAAGAGAAUCUGCAAGCAAUGAUAAGGGCUUUGCAAGAGGAAAUUACUGCCUUAAAAAAUCAAAAUGUGUCGAUUUAGAAAACGAAGUCUUACAAAGUGAGCAACAGUUAAAUAAAAUGAAUAGUUCUUUUGAAGAAAGUGCACAAGCUUUAUUUAAAGAUGUGUUAACAUCAAAUCAGAUAGAUAUAAUCUUGAAAAAUCAAAAGCUCGAUGGAACAAUGAGGAACUUGCUAGAGCUUUUACUUUAAGAUAUUUGGGGAAAAAGAGUUACAUCUUUCUAAGGGAGUCAAAUUAUCCCCUUCCUGGACUAUCAACUUUACAAAAACGGGCAGCCAGCAUUAAGAGACGAAAGUAUGCUGUUUUAAAACAAACGUCUCAGAAAAAUUCAGAAUUCAUCUCGGAAAAGGCAGAAAGUUUUAUGUGUAAAUAAUCAAGGCGACAUAGGCGAAAACGGAUUUAUGAGUAUUUGCAAUAUGAGAAAAACGGUUGUCAAAUUAAAAAACGCCAUUAUCUGUAACGGAUGUUGCCCGUUUUGUGGCUUUAAUUGGGGAUGGCCGAAGUCAACUUUAUGUCUCCAAUACCUUGGAUAUAUUUCGAACAACAGUCCAGGAUACCUGGAAUCGGUAUAUGGAAACGAGAAAUUUCACCAGGCGAGUAGACACUAGAUAUUAGUCCCUUAAAAUUUCUUUACUUUUUUUUUAA